RNAcentral lists this long non-coding RNA (290 nucleotides) under Carica papaya (papaya). Its description in RNAcentral is "long non-coding RNA (CPAP_LNC014703)". The record is from RNAcentral. Lineage: Eukaryota; Viridiplantae; Streptophyta; Magnoliopsida; Brassicales; Caricaceae.
CACUCGCCGCCGCACUGGGGAAAUUUCCGACCGCCGAUCAAGGUAAAUUUCAUACCCCCGACUCGUUUUUCCCCACUGAUUCCUCCUAUGGCCAAAUCGAAGCCGAAAUCCCGGCCAAACGGCCGGAAUACGCGGCCGAAGCCCAGCGGCGCCGCCGCGCCCCCUCUCGGUUUUUGCCUCCGACGAGGCCCUUCCCGGCCUCCGUUCGAUGCAAUUUUUAUAUCACCGUGAUCACCAUUCUUUUCUCUACAGGUUGACCGAAGCCAAAUCACCAAAACACGAACCUCGCC